CCCUAGCCCCGAUAGGAACGGCAUCCUUUUUCUUUUUUAACAAAAAAAAGAAAAAGAUACAGUGGAUAGCGGGAAUUGCU
This 80-nucleotide small RNA is filed under the name Epilithonimonas pallida. RNAcentral describes it as "Flavo-1 RNA". It matches the Rfam family "Flavo-1 RNA". Lineage: Bacteria; Pseudomonadati; Bacteroidota; Flavobacteriia; Flavobacteriales; Weeksellaceae. The record is from RNAcentral.